GUGGUGGACAGUUAUAGUUCCUUUCUGCAGGCUAGGAUGAAUGACUUUUCAGGAAAACCAAUUUCACAAAUCAAAAACUUUCCUCUAGAUUUCUCCUACAAUAUUCAUCCAGUUUAGUUCUUUUGGUUUAAUUGGACACCGUCCUGAUUUUUAAUUUUGCAAACCAUUCAGUCUCUUGCUUGCAAAUGGUGCAUGAAAAUAGGAUGGGUAUGGCAGUAGACAAGUCUCUUUAAAGUGGGUUUGUGCCCUGAAAAAAGUGUU
RNAcentral lists this long non-coding RNA (261 nucleotides) under Mytilus galloprovincialis (Mediterranean mussel). The record is from RNAcentral. Lineage: Eukaryota; Metazoa; Mollusca; Bivalvia; Mytilida; Mytilidae.